UCUAAGUGCAUCCAUGAGUUUCUGUGUCCAACUUUGAUCGUUCGUCCAGUAUUUUUGUUGUUAUGAGAUGAUAAAAUAUGAAUAGUAUUUUAUGUGUGACUCAUGUUUUUAAUUUUUUUUAAAAAAUUUUCAAAUAAGAUGGAUGAUCAAAGUUGGGCACGGAAAACUAUGGUUGCAUUUAAA
Molecule: microRNA precursor, 183 nt
Organism: Oryza rufipogon (brownbeard rice)
Lineage: Eukaryota; Viridiplantae; Streptophyta; Magnoliopsida; Poales; Poaceae
Rfam family: MIR812 microRNA precursor family
Source: Rfam